Molecule: non-coding RNA, 112 nt
Organism: Acanthosepion pharaonis
Lineage: Eukaryota; Metazoa; Mollusca; Cephalopoda; Sepiida; Sepiidae
Source: the annotation of a GenBank genome assembly
UACGGUAAUAUCACGUUGAAACACCGGUUCUUAUACGAUCGCCGAGGUUAAGCAAUGUUUGGCUUCGUGAGUAUCUAGAUGAGUGACCGUUUGGAAAUACCAGGCGCUGUAA